CGAACGGGUGAGUAAUGCGUGACCAACCUGCCCCAUGCUCCAGAAUAGCUCUUGGAAACGGGUGGUAAUGCUGGAUGCUCCAACUUGACGCAUGUCUUGUUGGGAAAGUGUUCAGUGGCAUGGGAUGGGGUCGCGUCCUAUCAGCUUGUAGGCGGGGUAAUGGCCCACCUAGGCUUCGACGGGUAGCCGGCCUGAGAGGGCGGACGGCCACAUUGGGACUGAGAUACGGCCCAGACUCCUACGGGAGGCAGCAGCC
This 256-nucleotide ribosomal RNA is filed under the name uncultured Gardnerella sp. Its description in RNAcentral is "partial 16S ribosomal RNA". It matches the Rfam family "Bacterial small subunit ribosomal RNA", at positions 99 to 355 of the family's 1533-position model. The record is from RNAcentral. Lineage: Bacteria; Bacillati; Actinomycetota; Actinomycetes; Bifidobacteriales; Bifidobacteriaceae.